This 427-nucleotide ribosomal RNA is filed under the name uncultured bacterium. RNAcentral's name for it is "bacterial SSU rRNA". It matches the Rfam family "Bacterial small subunit ribosomal RNA", at positions 355 to 774 of the family's 1533-position model. The record is from RNAcentral.
UAGGGAAUAUUGGACAAUGGGGGCAACCCUGAUCCAGCCAUGCCGCGUGAGUGAAGAAGGCCCUCGGGUUGUAAAGCUCUUUUGUCCGGAAAGAAAAGCAUUCGGUGAAUACCCGGAUGUUCUGACGGUACCGGAAGAAUAAGCACCGGCUAACUUCGUGCCAGCAGCCGCGGUAAUACGAAGGGUGCAAGCGUUACUCGGAAUUACUGGGCGUAAAGAGUACGUAGGUGGUUGUUUAAGCCUGAUGUGAAAGCCCUGGGCUCAACCUGGGAAUGGCAUUGGAAACUGGGCAGCUAGAGUGCGGUAGAGGGCAGUGGAAUUCCCGGUGUAGCAGUGAAAUGCGUAGAGAUCGGGAGGAACAUCUGUGGCGAAGGCGACUGCCUGGACCAGCACUGACACUGAGGCACGAAAGCGUGGGGAGCAAACA